RNAcentral lists this ribosomal RNA (292 nucleotides) under uncultured bacterium. Its description in RNAcentral is "partial 16S ribosomal RNA". It matches the Rfam family "Bacterial small subunit ribosomal RNA", at positions 775 to 1067 of the family's 1533-position model. The record is from RNAcentral.
GGAUUAGAUACCCUGGUAGUCCACACCGUAAACGCUGUCUACUAGCUGUAUGUUUUUUAUAAGAUGUGUGGCGUAGCUAACGCGCUAAGUAGACCGCCUGGGGAGUACGGCCGCAAGGUUAAAACUCAAAUGAAUUGACGGGGGCCCGCACAAGCGGUGGAGCAUGUGGUUUAAUUCGAUGCAACGCGAAGAACCUUACCAUCCCUUGACAUCCUGAGAAGUUAGCAGAGAUGCUUUCGUGCCUUCGGGAACUCAGUGACAGGUGCUGCAUGGCUGUCGUCAGCUCGUGCCG